This 253-nucleotide ribosomal RNA is filed under the name uncultured bacterium. RNAcentral describes it as "partial 16S ribosomal RNA". It matches the Rfam family "Bacterial small subunit ribosomal RNA", at positions 524 to 776 of the family's 1533-position model. The record is from RNAcentral.
UACGGGGGGAGCAAGCGUUGUUCGGAUUUACUGGGCGUAAAGGGCGCGUAGGCGGCGUAACAAGUCACUUGUGAAAUCUCCGGGCUUAACUCGGAGCGGUCAAGUGAUACUGUUGUGCUAGAGUGCGGAAGGGGCUACUGGAAUUCUCGGUGUAGCGGUGAAAUGCGUAGAUAUCGAGAGGAACACCUGCGGCGAAGGCGGGUAGCUGGGCCGACACUGACGCUGAGGCGCGAAAGCUAGGGGAGCGAUCCGG